This 1220-nucleotide small RNA is filed under the name Malus domestica (apple). Its description in RNAcentral is "sRNA MD06G0129500". Lineage: Eukaryota; Viridiplantae; Streptophyta; Magnoliopsida; Rosales; Rosaceae. The record is from RNAcentral.
UUUUGUUUCCUUUGCUCUCUCUCCCUGUUACCUCUGUUGGUUUUUGUCACUGGUGUUCUUUGUUCUCUCAUGUUCUAUCUUGCUUUUCUAUCAACUUAAAGCUUUCCGGGUUCCAGUUUCCAGGUGCUUGAGGUCAAUCCCGUUCUGUUUGCAACAUACUAGCGAUGAUUUAAAACAUUUUACGGUGGACAAUCAAUUGGAAACAGCUUCAAAUGGGAAGUUUUCGCAAGGGACGCAUGUAAGUGGGGUUUGCCCGAUGCCGAUGGAGAAUGCUUUUUGGAAUUCCAUUAAGGGAAAUUUUGGGUUUUAUUGAAGAAAUUUUAAACCCAUAAAGCUUGGGUUUCCUGGUGGACUAUGCCGUUUGAGAAACUAUGUACUCAAACGCUCUCAACGAAUACCCGCUUUCUCCCUCUCUCUCAUGAUAAUUGAUACGGAGUACCAGACCCAGAGAAGCAUUCAGGCGGGCAAGAGAUAAUGAAUUGACAAAGCAGAAAGCUUUGGAGAAAGCUAGAAAGCUUAAGGUAAAAAAACUGCAUGUUACAAAGGAAAAACCACACCAGCGCACACUUGGAAAUAGCUAGAGGUUUCAUGGGAAUUUUCAGCUAUUUGCAAUAAUGAGAAUACAAAGUAAUAGGUUUGUCAUCUUUUGAUUUAUAUUAAUUUUUUAUUGUUUUGUACAUUAAUAAUUAUGCGACUGAUUAUAUUUUAUUGUGCUAAUGUGUAGUGCAUAUAACUUUAGCCAACAUUAUAGAAUCCAUUUUCUGUUGAAAAUUUUGAAUGUUCUGUGAUGGAAAAGGUUAUGAUAAAUUGCAAGGUAGAAAUUCUGUUAUGAGUUCUUUAGCUGAUUUGGGGCAUCUUUCUUUACGAUGUUUAAUUUCAUCUAGAAACAAAUAGUGUUUAGAAUCACCAAGUGGUACAAAAAAGUAUUUUAAAUUGUUUUUUAACCAAUCUAUUGCCAACUUUUCCAACAGGUUUCUUAUUUUAUUUUCCAUUAUUAUUGUGUGCGUGGACAGCUUGCAGAAAUUACAAGUUUUAAAACCCGCAGCAUCGCGCGGGCACUGUUGCUAGUUAAUGUACUAAAGAACUUAUGACACUUCAAAUUCCUAUUGAGUCUGCAUACUAAAAUUCAAGUGUUCAACUCUUUUUACAAAAUCGGACGCACGGAAAGUUGAUACAACGAUACCUACGGGAAAUGGCAGUAGCCACUUUGUGUUUGGCUU